Molecule: small nucleolar RNA, 132 nt
Organism: Lupinus angustifolius (narrow-leaved blue lupine)
Lineage: Eukaryota; Viridiplantae; Streptophyta; Magnoliopsida; Fabales; Fabaceae
Rfam family: Small nucleolar RNA snoR74
Source: Rfam
AAAAAAGCAGGGGUCUGUUGCCUUUGUGAACAUGCCUCUCGUAACCUUCAGGGACAUCAUAUUAUUACCAAUGUUAUUGGGUGAACCUAUGUUUUGUUUGUAACUGAUGGUUCAGUAAACAAUGGUACAUUU